RNAcentral lists this ribosomal RNA (110 nucleotides) under uncultured bacterium. RNAcentral describes it as "partial 16S ribosomal RNA". It matches the Rfam family "Bacterial small subunit ribosomal RNA", at positions 1373 to 1482 of the family's 1533-position model. The record is from RNAcentral.
CCCGGACCUUGUACACACCGCCCGUCACACCAUGGGAGUUGGUUUUACCUUAAGACGGUGUGCCAACCGCAAGGAGGCAGCCGGCCACGGUAAGGUCAGCGACUGGGGUG